This is a long non-coding RNA of Mustela lutreola (European mink), 3466 nucleotides long. RefSeq lists it as uncharacterized. The transcript is spliced from 4 exons. NCBI's taxonomy places the organism in Eukaryota, Metazoa, Chordata, Mammalia, Carnivora, Mustelidae. The record is from RefSeq and is a predicted model, not a curated record.
ACACCAGACACAGAGACCCUGAGAUCAUGACCUGAGACGAAGCCAAGAGUCAGAUACUUCACUGACUAAGCCACCCAGGUGCCCUUUGUGUAUGCGUAUUUUAAUAGAACUUCAUUAAAUUUAUUAAAUCUUUGCACUAGAACUGGUCCAAUAACAGAUGUGAAUCUAUGUGCAUGGUUUUAUUAUUCAUAUAGCAUUUAGAGUGCAGUAGUUGUGCACCCAACAAAUAUUCAUAAAUGCCUGCUGUGUGUCAAAACUGUACUAAAAAAUCUGCUGUCGUUUUUUGGAUUGUCUACCACCAACUACAUUAAACGGCCCUUUCAGAUGGGGACCCUAAGCAAAUAUUUCUUUGUACUCCUAAAGACUGAUAAUGUAACCUGCACUUAAGAGUUGCCCACUCGGGAUCCGUUCACUCCUCCUUCCUUUGUAACAGAAUCCUAGUUUUGUCCAGAGACCCAUCAGUAGAGCCAAGUAUUUCAGAGGAAAUUAUCGGAAUAGAUCUGAUUCCUCUGAAGGUAAUGCCAUUACCCUUACCAAGAUUGUGUCAGGUAUGAUGACCUAUUUCUGGCCAAUGAGGCAUGAGGGGAAGUCUGCUGCGAUGCUUUGGCAAGUUUCUUGCCUCCUCCAAGGGUGGUCCAGGCAAAGGUGGUCUCUUCCUCCAAGUAGUUAUGAUUCUGUGCUAUCUGGAACCGUAGCAAACAUCUUGCUACUUUUCUAAGGAUGAAGUUUCCACUGGGGACAGCAGAGAGGAGAAAUGGGAAAUACUUUGGUCCUUAAUUACUUUGUUGAGCUUCUAAUCAACCAAAGGCAACAUCUACUCUACCUCAGCACUUCUGAUUCAUUGUCAACACCAGUUUGAGUCUGUGUUUCUGUAUUUGCAGCCACUGCAUCCGGAUGGUUCAAGAUGUUGUUGACAAUGACUGGGAAAAAUAAAACGAUAGACUUGCCAUAUUCACAGAUGGUGCUACUGACCACAAGUGAUGUUUAUUUGUGGGGCUGGGAAUAAAAACAUCAAUGUAAGACUUACAGUCUUUACUCCACAGAGCUACCCUCUCUCUCCUAAGCCCCUAUAACCUCCACGUAUGCCUUUCAGAUGCAGGAAGGUCAGAAGAAGAGUUGGUGGUUUUACAGUUGUAUUCUACUGGAAACAGAUUCUGGGACCAGGAAAAUUCAUAAGAAAAUGAUGUAUCAGGGAGUGUUCCCAGGAAAAAGGACCAUGUAAGGGAGUGACAUGAAACAGAGGUGACUUGGGGAGGGCGCAGGUAAGGCUGGCUGUGGCCGAGAAGGUGUGGCUGGCGGUGGAAAGCACACCCAGAGUCAGUGCCCUCUGCUGGCAUCCGCGGAAGGGGAUCUCAAAAAAGGAGCAGCGUUAUGGAAGAAAAGAAGAGAUAGCUCUGAUUUUGCUGUUUUAUUUCCACAUGGAUACCAAACUCAUCACUCCCUGAAGAAGCAAAAGCAACCUGAAGAGGAUAAGGUGCAUUGUUCUCACAGUUGGGAGGCCUGGGCUUCAGCCCUGGUUUGGGCAGCAGCAUGACCCUGGGGGGACCCUGGAGGAGCCGAUCAGUCUCGGUGGCCCUCAGCUUCCCCUCAGGACCCCGCACAACCUCAGAGGCAACAAUGCCAAGUAAACAUUGGUUGGUUGACUAAAAAUGUGUUAUUUCAGCACUGUAGGAAUUUAGGUCGUGGCUAACCUCCAAGCUCCCUUCCUGCUGGGUCUUUAACAGGGAGACUUCCUCUCGGUUUCCAUGUUUCUGUUAUUCUUCUAGAGGAGUUUUCUUUUGUGUAUGUGAUUCAGCUCUUCAGAGGGCCCCGUGACAGUCAUAUGAGAUGUGUUUAAUUUUGUACAGUUUAAUUGCAUAUUAGCAACAGCGUUUACUAGAUGACUCUGCUCUUCCAAGGAAAAAUCAUUCAAGAUUUUUGUUCUUGGAGACUUAAAAGAGGAAAAUAUAAAUGCCUAUUUUCUUUGCUAGUAUCCAUGUUGUGAUAAAGAAAUAAUAAAAAGUGGCUUUUUCUCCAAAAUGUAUGAAUAAAUGACUUCUGGUUUCCAUUCUCAGGAUGAGAUUUAUGCUCUUAGACUUGACUCCAGUUCUGGGGUAUUCUACGAUAGGUUUACAACUGGAAUGAACAUCGUUGAUGCUGUCAGGUGCUAGUCUCUGUUAAACAUCUUGCACCCCAAACUCUCAAAGACUCUAAGCUGUAACAGUUGGUGCUGAGGGUGAUCCCAAAAAGCAGGCAAUAAAGUGAGGGUUCAGAAGUGGAUCCCACACCACCGGGCUGGCCGUGAGGACCCCACCCAUCACUGGUGGCUGCUAAUACCAGUGGCCAUUCAGCUGUUAUAUCUCUCACAGUGGGCGGGGUGGGGGAUGAUUUGGGCACGAGUACCAGGAGGAGCAAAUACACUUGUGGGUGCAACAGAUAAGUUAUUUGAGACUUGGAAGGAAAAGGUAGAGACAAAGGUAACGGGAUUGGGUGGCUAUUGCCAAGUCUCACUGACAGCUACACAAUGUUGAGGAGCCGCUGAGGUGAAAACCAAGUUUGAGAUGGAGGUGCGAAAGCCAGAAGGCUCAUGGAUAUUCGAAGAUGCUCCUUCAGUCCGGCAGCGUUGGGACAAGAGAAGUGUUGGACUUCUUCAGCUCAGAGAUUGGACUUCAUAAAAAAAUGAAGGCAGGGGCGCCUGGGUGGCUCAGUGGGUUGAAGCCUCUGCCUUCGGCUCAGGUCAUGAUUCCAGGGUCCUGGGAUCGAGCCCCAUAUCGGGCUCUCUGCUCAGCGGGGAGCCUGCUUCCUCCUCUCUCUGCCUGCCUCUCUCCCUACUUGUGAUCUCUGUCUGUCAAAUAAAUAAAUAAAAUCUUAAAAAAAAAAAAUGAAGGCAGGUCUGUGUCAAGAUCAAGGCCUAGGUUGGAAAAUCCUUUAAUCUGAACAGAUGGAAUGAGACGUUUUGGUGAACGUCUCCAAAGAUUUUUGACUUCUCAGAGUCUGGUCUUCCUAAGCCAUUGGCCACCGUAGGACUGGCAUGAUGGGCUCAUGAGUGGAGAGGCCACGGUGACAGAGACGGAGGCGUAGAAUAUUUCCAAGAACACAUAAAGGUGGUUUUCGCCUUGUACAGUAAAUGCGGGGUGGUAAAAAUGACCAUGCACCCAGGGGCAUCUCAAUGAUGCAGUCAGUUAAGUGUCCAGCUCUUGAAUUCGGCUAAGGUCGUGAUCUUGGGUCAUGAGAUCAAGCCCCGCAUCAUGCUCUGUGCUCAGCUCAAAGUCUGUUUGAGACUCUCUUUCCCUCUUCCCCUGCCCCCAGCCUGUGCACACAAUCUCUCUCUCUCUCUCAAAUAAAUAAGUUAAUCUUAAAAAAAAAAAAAACCCAUACACCCCAAAACCAUGCAAAGCAAAGUUAACAAUCAACGGGAAAAAUUAUGAUUGUACUCCAACUUUUAAAACUUCUGUCCCAGGGUGCCUGGGUGGCUCAGUGGGUUAAG